This 138-nucleotide non-coding RNA is filed under the name Aeromonas sobria. RNAcentral describes it as "Moco (molybdenum cofactor) riboswitch". It matches the Rfam family "Molybdenum/Tungsten riboswitch aptamer (Moco RNA motif)", at positions 8 to 125 of the family's 135-position model. Lineage: Bacteria; Pseudomonadati; Pseudomonadota; Gammaproteobacteria; Aeromonadales; Aeromonadaceae. The record is from RNAcentral.
AUGAACUCCGAGCUGUUUUGCCUACGUCCUUGCGAUAGGGGAAAACCAGCCGUCAGCCGACUGUUGAACCUAAUGGUCGAGCUGUAAGGGUCAGGAAAGAAAUGCCCUGGCCUCCCGUAUUUGGAAAGGUGUUUAUGU